This 301-nucleotide ribosomal RNA is filed under the name uncultured bacterium. RNAcentral's name for it is "partial 16S ribosomal RNA". It matches the Rfam family "Bacterial small subunit ribosomal RNA", at positions 509 to 807 of the family's 1533-position model. The record is from RNAcentral.
CAGCCGCCACGGUAAUACGUAGGUGGCAAGCGUUGUCCGGAAUUAUUGGGCGUAAAGGACUCGCAGGCGGUUUCUUAAGUCUGAUGUGAAAGCCCCCGGCUCAACCGGGGAGGGUCAUUGGAAACUGGGAAACUUGAGUGCAGAAGAGGAGAGUGGAAUUCUACGUGUAGCGGUGUAAUGCGUAGAGAUGUGGAGGAACACCAGUGGCGAAGGCGACUCUCUGGUCUGUAACUGACGCUGAGGAGCGAAAGCGUGGGGAGCGAACAGGAUUAGAUACCCCCGUAGUCCCUGUCUCUUAUAC